CCUACGGGUGGCAGCAGUGGGGAAUAUUGCACAAUGGGGGGAACCCUGAUGCAGCAACGCCGCGUGGGUGAAGAAGUACUUCGGUAUGUAAAGCCCUGUCAGCAGGGAAGAAAAUGACGGUACCUGACCAAGAAGCCCCGGCUAACUACGUGCCAGCAGCCGCGGUAAAACGUAGGGGGCAAGCGUUAUCCGGAUUUACUGGGUGUAAUGGGAGCGUAGACGGCAAGGCAAGUCUGGAGUGGAAGCUCGUGGGUCAACCACGGGACUGCUUUGGAAACUGUGGUGCUGGAGUGCAGGAGAGGUAAGCGGAAUUCGUAGUGUAGCGGUGAAAUGCGUAGAUAUUAGGAGGAACACCGGUGGCGAAGGCAGCUUACUGGACUGUAACUGACGUUGAGGCACGAAGGCGUGGGGAGCGAACAGGAUUAGAUACCCCAGUAGUC
This 440-nucleotide ribosomal RNA is filed under the name uncultured bacterium. RNAcentral describes it as "partial 16S ribosomal RNA". It matches the Rfam family "Bacterial small subunit ribosomal RNA", at positions 338 to 795 of the family's 1533-position model. The record is from RNAcentral.